Lates calcarifer (barramundi perch) is the source of this 1267-nucleotide long non-coding RNA. RefSeq lists it as uncharacterized. The transcript has 5 exons. The record is from RefSeq and is a predicted model, not a curated record. Lineage: Eukaryota; Metazoa; Chordata; Actinopteri; Centropomidae.
CACGUGAGAAUGGGCUCAUCUAAACCUUUAUAAAGACACCAGUAUUUCACAGCAAAUGGGCACAGAGAGUCACAUCACCUGUAUCCCUCAGCUGCUGACUUUGCUCUCUCUACCAGUCUUCUGACUCCACCUAUCACUCUGUGGGCAGGAUGAAGUUUGCCAUGAUCUUUCUUGUGUUGACGCUGGUCGUCCUCAUGACUGAAACUGGGGAGUGUGCUUGUUUCCUACGUCUGGGACGAGCAUUGGCAGAUAUGAGAGCCAAGCGUGAUGCUGACACAUCUGGAGGGGAUGGGAAGCAAUCAAGCUUUGACUGGAAAGCAUAUAGGAAGAGUAUUGGGUGCCCAGUUGAUUAGAGGUCACAAGAGACAGUCUCUCAGCUGUAUGAUUUGGGGAAGAAAUGCAUUGCCCCUUAGGUUCUGUAGCUUUGUGCUUUGUAAUGCAGGAAAUAACUGGAUAAAAAAACAAACCAGUGAUCUCAGGUCUAACUGGUUUUGGAGAACUGUCUGUUGCUUGAUAUUGCUAAAUGCCCUGAUGAAUAAAACUGCAUAACAAAAAGUCUAAUUUGCUGUGUCAUUAUUAGUUUAAAAAAAAAAGUUUUCCAAUUAUUUCUUUUGCGUAAGAAGAAUACUGUCAUUGUUAUGAGUCUGCGGAAAAUCACUUCAGAUUAGGUAAAUUAUAAUUAGAAUGAAUUUGCCAUGUAUUUUAGGCACUUCCAGUUCCACAGAUAUUCUUUCAGUGCCGUCAAUCCCAAAUAAAGUAAAUAAAGUAUUAAUUCAGAUGGAUGCCUCCUACUUUUUAGUCAUAUGCCACGCCCAUCAGUGAGGUCUUGGGUCUACAUCAGGUUUUUCCCUACCAUUCUAAGAUUUAGAUAUAGUGCUUGAAAUUAAAGAAUGAAAAAACCCACUCUGAACGGACACCGUAUUGGCCCUAAUAUUAGGCAAUAUUUCAUUUCUGAGCCUCAGGUUUAGAAAAGUGGGUGUUGUCUUUAUUUCAAAGACUCCAUAAUUGUGUUCAGUCAUUACAACAGAUAUUCUUUUUGAAUAGACAGAGUAUCAGUGUAGCUAUAGUGUUGCAUUAUGGUUUAUUUGUAGCCUUAUUAUGUUGCUAAGCUAGCAAGUGUUUUCAAGUCUAUCUAUAGUGAGUGUUUCAGAGUUGAUCAGCCUUAAGUGUUUGGUUAGUCCAGUUUAACCUGGACGAGUUUCUGAAGACUGCUGUAACAUGUUCUGCUGCCACAGAGGAAAUAAAAUAAUAACUGAAAACAACUUAA